This 253-nucleotide ribosomal RNA is filed under the name uncultured bacterium. Its description in RNAcentral is "partial 16S ribosomal RNA". It matches the Rfam family "Bacterial small subunit ribosomal RNA", at positions 524 to 776 of the family's 1533-position model. The record is from RNAcentral.
UACGGGGGGGGCAAGCGUUGUUCGGAAUUACUGGGCGUAAAGGGCUCGUAGGCGGCCUGUUAAGUCGAACGUGAAAUCCCCGGGCUCAACCCGGGAACUGCGUCCGAUACUGGCAGGCUUGAAUUCGGGAGAGGGAUGCGGAAUUCCAGGUGUAGCGGUGAAAUGCGUAGAUAUCUGGAGGAACACCGGUGGCGAAGGCGGCAUCCUGGACCGAGAUUGACGCUGAGGCGCGAAAGCCAGGGGAGCAAACGGG